RNAcentral lists this ribosomal RNA (1503 nucleotides) under human gut metagenome. RNAcentral's name for it is "bacterial LSU rRNA". It matches the Rfam family "Bacterial large subunit ribosomal RNA", at positions 483 to 1980 of the family's 2925-position model. The record is from RNAcentral.
ACCGAUAGUGGAGCAGUACCGUGAGGGAAAGGUGAAAAGAACCCCGGGAGGGGAGUGAAAUAGUACCUGAAACCGUAUGUCUACAAGCAGUCGGAGCGAAAGCGACGGCGUGCCUAUUGAAGAAUGAACCAACGAGUUACGUGCACUAGCGAGGUUAAGUGGAAGACACGGAGCCGAAGCGAAAGCGAGUCUUAAGAGGGCGGAUAGUUAGUGUACGUAGACCCGAAACCGCAGUGAUCUACCCAUGUCCAGGUUGAAGCGCAGGUAAAAUUGCGUGGAGGACCGAACCUGUGAGCGUUGAAAAGCUUUAGGAUGAGAUGUGGGUAGAGGUGAAAUUCCAAUCGAACGCGGAGAUAGCUGGUUCUCCCCGAAAUAGCUUUAGGGCUAGCCUCAAGUAGUAAGUAUAGGCGGUAGAGCACUGAUCGGGCUAGGGGCCAUAAAGGUUACCGAACCCUGUCAAACUCCGAAUGGUUAUACUGUAGAGCUUGGGAGUCAGACUACGAGUGAUAAGAUCCGUGGUCAAAAGGGAAACAGCCCAGACCACCAGCUAAGGUCCCCAAUGUCGUACUAAGUGGAAAAGGAUGUGGGGUCUCUAAAACAACCAGGAUGUUGGCUUAGAAGCAGCCACCAUUUAAAGAGUGCGUAAUAGCUCACUGGUCGAGAGACCCUGCGCCGAAGAUUACCGGGGCUAAAGUACGAAACCGAAGCUGUGGCUACGACGUAAGUCGUGGGGUAGGGGAGCGUUCUGUGAGGGCUGAAGUCGUUCUGUAAGGAACGGUGGACUUCACAGAAGUGAGAAUGUUGGUAUGAGUAGCGAAAAGAAUGGUGAGAAUCCAUUCCACCGAAAGCAUAAGGAUUCCUGGGCAACGAUCGUCGUCCCAGGGUAAGUCGGGACCUAAUCCGAGGCAUGGAGCGUAGGAGAUGGACAACUGGCAGAUAUUCCAGUACCGGUAAUGAUUGUUUGAGCGAUGGAGUGACACAGGAGGGCAGGCAGGCAGGAGAUUGGUUGUUCCUGUACAAGCGUGUAGGAUGGGACGUAGGCAAAUCCGCGUCCUGUGAGUCUGAGGCGUGAUGUGGAGGUUCCGGAAACGGAACUGAAGCUGCUGACCCCACACUGUCGAGAAAAGCUUCUAGUUAGAGAAUUACCGCCCGUACCGUAAACCGACACAGGUAUGCGGGGAGAGAAUCCUAAGGUGCGCGGGAGAACCCUCGUUAAGGAACUCGGCAAAAUGUACCCGUAACUUCGGGAUAAGGGUAGCCGCUGUUGUGAAGUCUGCACAGACGGAGCAUGAGGCGGUCGCAGAGAAGAGGCCCAAGCGACUGUUUACCACAAACACAGGUGCCUGCUAAAGAGAAAUCUGACGUAUAGGUGCUGACACCUGCCCAGUGCCGGAAGGUUAAGGAAGGAUGUCCGGAGCAAUCCAAAGCAUUCGACCGAAGCCCCGGUGAACGGCGGCCGUAACUAUAACGGUCCUAAGGUAGCGAAAUUCCUUGUCGGGUAAG